AUUGAACGCUGGCGGCAUGCUUUACACAUGCCAGUCGAACGGCAGCGCGGGCUUCGGCCUGGCGGCGAGUGGCGAACGGGUGAGUAGUACAUCGGAACGUGCCCAGUAGUGGGGGAUAGCUCGGCGAAAGCCGGAUUAAUACCGCAUACGACCUGAGGGUGAAAGCGGGGGAUCUUCGGACCUCGCGCUAUUGGAGCGGCCGAUGGCAGAUUAGCUAGUUGGUGGGGUAAAGGCCUACCAAGGCGACGAUCUGUAGCUGGUCUGAGAGGACGACCAGCCACACUGGGACUGAGACACGGCCCAGACUCCUACGGGAGGCAGCAGUGGGGAAUUUUGGACAAUGGGCGAAAGCCUGAUCCAGCAAUGCCGCGUGUGUGAUGAAGGCCUUCGGGUUGUAAAGCACUUUUGGCGGGAACGAAAAGGACUGUGCCAAUACCACGGUUCGAUGACGGUACCCGCAGAAUAAGCACCGGCUAACUACGUG
Molecule: ribosomal RNA, 484 nt
Filed under: uncultured bacterium
Lineage: Bacteria
Description: partial 16S ribosomal RNA
Rfam family: Bacterial small subunit ribosomal RNA
Source: RNAcentral